This 75-nucleotide transfer RNA is filed under the name Opitutaceae bacterium. Its description in RNAcentral is "tRNA-Thr". It matches the Rfam family "tRNA". From Rfam's summary of the family: Transfer RNA (tRNA) molecules are approximately 80 nucleotides in length. Their secondary structure includes four short double-helical elements and three loops (D, anti-codon, and T loops). The record is from RNAcentral. Lineage: Bacteria; Pseudomonadati; Verrucomicrobiota; Opitutia; Opitutales; Opitutaceae.
GCCGGCAUAGCACAGUGGUAGUGCAACAGUUUUGUAAACUGUAGGUCGUCGGUUCGAAUCCGACUGCCGGCUCCA